Molecule: ribosomal RNA, 287 nt
Filed under: uncultured bacterium
Lineage: Bacteria
Description: partial 16S ribosomal RNA
Rfam family: Bacterial small subunit ribosomal RNA
Source: RNAcentral
GCAGCCGCGGUAAUACGUAGGUGGCAAGCGUUAUCCGGAUUAUUGGGCGUAAAGAGAGUGCAGGCGGUUUCGUAAGUCUGAUGUGAAAGCCUUACGGCUUAACCGGAGAAGUGCAUCGGAAAACUGGUAUAAACUUGAGUGCGGAAGAGGGUAGUGGAACUCCAUGUGUAGCGGUGGAAUGCGUAGAUAUAUGGAAGAACACCAGUGGCGAAGGCGGCUACCUGGUCUGCAACUGACGCUGAGACUCGAAAGCAUGGGGUAGCGAACAGGAUUAGAUACCCUGGUAG